AGAGUUUGAUCAUGGCUCAGAGCGAACGCUGGCGGCAGGCCUAACACAUGCAAGUCGAGCGGCCGUAGCAAUACGGCAGCGGCAGACGGGAGAGUAACACGUGGGAACGCGCCCUUCGGUUCGGGAUAACUCAGGGAAACUUGGGCUAAUACCGGAUACGCCCUUACGGGGAAAGAUUUAUUGCCGAAGGAACGGCCCGCGUCCGAUUAGCUUGUUGGUGAGGUAACGGCUCACCAAGGCGACGAUCGGUAGCUGGUCUGAGAGGAUGACCAGCCUCACUGGGACUGAGACACGGCCCAGACUCCUACGGGAGGCAGCAGUGGGGAAUAUUGGACAAUGGGCGCAAGCCUGAUCCAGCCAUGCCGCGUGGGUGAUGAAGGCCCUAGGGUUGUAAAGCCCUUUCGGCGGGGAAGAUAAUGACGGUACCCGCAGAAGAAGCCCCGGCUAACUUCGUGCCAGCAGCCGCGGUA
Molecule: ribosomal RNA, 470 nt
Filed under: uncultured Pseudomonadota bacterium
Lineage: Bacteria; Pseudomonadati; Pseudomonadota
Description: bacterial SSU rRNA
Rfam family: Bacterial small subunit ribosomal RNA
Source: RNAcentral